RNAcentral lists this unclassified non-coding RNA (346 nucleotides) under Hevea brasiliensis (rubber tree). The record is from RNAcentral. Lineage: Eukaryota; Viridiplantae; Streptophyta; Magnoliopsida; Malpighiales; Euphorbiaceae.
AAUCUUGUCAGGGAGCAACAAAGGAAAAGAAGUUACACGGACACUGCCAACUUCACUUUGCGCUGUGGGGUAUGCCAAAUUGGAGUAGUUGGCCAGAAGGAGGCUGUUGAGCAUGCACAAGCCACAGGCCAUGUCAACUUCCAAGAGUAUAGAUGAUAAAAUUUGUGAUGAAAACAACCUUAGAGGAAGACUGAUAAGUUUACUUUGGUGAGCUCUUUUGGUGAUUGUAUCAUUCAGUCAAUAAAUUAUUGGAUUCUUUGGUAACCAAUAAAAUGGUCAUAUGCACUUUCAAACACUGGUUUGUAUCAAAGAAAGACAAAUUGAUGUUUCUGUCACUGAUUGAAGU